This 75-nucleotide transfer RNA is filed under the name Caulobacter phage CcrColossus. It matches the Rfam family "tRNA". From Rfam's summary of the family: Transfer RNA (tRNA) molecules are approximately 80 nucleotides in length. The record is from Rfam by way of RNAcentral. Lineage: Duplodnaviria; Heunggongvirae; Uroviricota; Caudoviricetes; Jeanschmidtviridae.
CUGCGUGUAGCUCAGUCUGGUUAGAGCGCUCGGUCCGGAGCCGAGGGGUCGUAGGUUCAAAUCCUGCUACGCAGA